RNAcentral lists this small nuclear RNA (55 nucleotides) under Salmo trutta (river trout). RNAcentral's name for it is "U7 small nuclear RNA (ENSSTUG00000038713.1)". It matches the Rfam family "U7 small nuclear RNA". Rfam says of the family: Animal histone pre-mRNAs are spliced by a different mechanism than nuclear pre-mRNAs and self-splicing introns. The record is from Rfam by way of RNAcentral. RNAcentral also lists the same sequence under 2 other names. Lineage: Eukaryota; Metazoa; Chordata; Actinopteri; Salmoniformes; Salmonidae.
GAAAAUUAGCUCUUUCAGUAUUUCUCCAGUAGGUUUCUUGAAGAAGAAAACCUUC